AUACGUAGGGGGCAAGCGUUGUCCGGAAUUAUUGGGCGUAAAGCGCGCGCAGGCGGUCGGGUAAGUCUGAUGUUAAAGCCCGGGGCUCAACCCCGGUUCGCAUUGGAAACUGCUCGACUUGAGUGCAGAAGAGGAAAGCGGAAUUCCACGUGUAGCGGUGAAAUGCGUAGAGAUGUGGAGGAACACCAGUGGCGAAGGCGGCUUUCUGGUCUGUAACUGACGCCGAGGCGCGAAAGCGUGAGGAGCAAACAGGAUUAGAUACCCUGGUAGUCCACGCCGUAAACGAUGAGUGCUAGGUGUUGGGGGUUUCAACACCCUCAGUGCCGCAGCUAACGCAAUAAGCACUCCGCCUGGGGAGUACGCUCGCAAGAGUGAA
RNAcentral lists this ribosomal RNA (376 nucleotides) under uncultured bacterium. Its description in RNAcentral is "bacterial SSU rRNA". It matches the Rfam family "Bacterial small subunit ribosomal RNA", at positions 523 to 898 of the family's 1533-position model. The record is from RNAcentral.